AAGUCGUAACAAGGUAUCCGUAGGUGAACCUGCGGAUGGAUCAUUAUCACGUUAUCCACGUAUCAACCAUUGUGAACUAGUACCUUUACCUUUGUUUGAGUUAUAUAGAUAUGAGUAUGAAGGAAACUUUAUACUUAUUUUUCUAUAUAUCUUAGACAAUUGUAUUUCAAUUCAUUUUAUUAACUAUUUAAACAAUAUUUAAAUAAUUAACUAUUGAACUGAAACAUUCUUUACUCUCUUCGGGGAGAAAGAAUAAAAAUUACGAAACAUAAGAACAACUCUUAGCAACGGAUAUCUUGGUUCUC
This 305-nucleotide unclassified non-coding RNA is filed under the name fungal sp. Its description in RNAcentral is "partial internal transcribed spacer region". The stretch from base 1 to 46 matches the Rfam family "Eukaryotic small subunit ribosomal RNA", at positions 1786 to 1831 of the family's 1831-position model. The record is from RNAcentral. Lineage: Eukaryota; Fungi.